Molecule: transfer RNA, 74 nt
Filed under: Lyrurus mlokosiewiczi (caucasian grouse)
Lineage: Eukaryota; Metazoa; Chordata; Aves; Galliformes; Phasianidae
Description: tRNA-Ile
Rfam family: tRNA
About the family: Transfer RNA (tRNA) molecules are approximately 80 nucleotides in length. Their secondary structure includes four short double-helical elements and three loops (D, anti-codon, and T loops).
Source: RNAcentral
GGCAAUGUGCCUGAACAGUUAAAGGAUCACUAUGAUAAAGUGAACAUAGAGGUAUAGUAACCCUCUCAUUGCCU